RNAcentral lists this ribosomal RNA (866 nucleotides) under uncultured bacterium. RNAcentral's name for it is "bacterial SSU rRNA". It matches the Rfam family "Bacterial small subunit ribosomal RNA", at positions 25 to 920 of the family's 1533-position model. The record is from RNAcentral.
CAGGAUGAACGCUGGCGGCGUGCCUAACACAUGCAAGUCGAGCGAUUUACUUCGGUAAAGAGCGGCGGACGGGUGAGUAACGCGUGGGUAACCUGCCCUGUACACACGGAUAACAUACCGAAAGGUAUGCUAAUACGAGAUAAUAUGCUUUUAUCGCAUGGUAGAAGUAUCAAAGCUCCGGCGGUACAGGAUGGACCCGCGUCUGAUUAGCUAGUUGGUAAGGUAACGGCUUACCAAGGCGACGAUCAGUAGCCGACCUGAGAGGGUGAUCGGCCACAUUGGAACUGAGACACGGUCCAAACUCCUACGGGAGGCAGCAGUGGGGAAUAUUGCACAAUGGGCGAAAGCCUGAUGCAGCAACGCCGCGUGAGCGAUGAAGGCCUUCGGGUCGUAAAGCUCUGUCCUCAAGGAAGAUAAUGACGGUACUUGAGGAGGAAGCCCCGGCUAACUACGUGCCAGCAGCCGCGGUAAUACGUAGGGGGCUAGCGUUAUCCGGAAUUACUGGGCGUAAAGGGUGCGUAGGUGGUUUCUUAAGUCAGAGGUGAAAGGCUACGGCUCAACCGUAGUAAGCCUUUGAAACUGGGAAACUUGAGUGCAGGAGAGGAGAGUGGAAUUCCUAGUGUAGCGGUGAAAUGCGUAGAUAUUAGGAGGAACACCAGUUGCGAAGGCGGCUCUCUGGACUGUAACUGACACUGAGGCACGAAAGCGUGGGAAGCAAACAGGAUUAGAUACCCUGGUAGUCCACGCCGUAAACGAUGAGUACUAGCUGUCGGAGGUUACCCCCUUCGGUGGCGCAGCUAACGCAUUAAGUACUCCGCCUGGGAAGUACGCUCGCAAGAGUGAAACUCAAAGGAAUUGACGGAAGG